RNAcentral lists this ribosomal RNA (253 nucleotides) under uncultured bacterium. RNAcentral's name for it is "partial 16S ribosomal RNA". It matches the Rfam family "Bacterial small subunit ribosomal RNA", at positions 524 to 776 of the family's 1533-position model. The record is from RNAcentral.
UACGGGGGGAGCAAGCGUUGUUCGGAUUUACUGGGCGUAAAGGGCUCGUAGGCGGCCAACUAAGUCAGACGUGAAAUCCCUCGGCUUAACCGGGGAACUGCGUCUGAUACUGGAUGGCUUGAGAUUGGGAGAGGGAUGCGGAAUUCCAGGUGUAGCGGUGAAAUGCGUAGAUAUCGGGAGGAACACCAAUGGCGAAGGCAGCUCGCUGGGACGUUACUGACGCUGAGACGCGAAAGCGUGGGGAGCAAACAGG